This 493-nucleotide long non-coding RNA is filed under the name Eucalyptus grandis. RNAcentral describes it as "long non-coding RNA (EGRA_LNC007648)". Lineage: Eukaryota; Viridiplantae; Streptophyta; Magnoliopsida; Myrtales; Myrtaceae. The record is from RNAcentral.
AACAUAGAAACCUUUCUGUAGGUUGUUCCGGUGUGUUAAUAAGUUGCCCUUUGCCUAUUAACCGAAGUUUUUAUGAAACUCGACAUGGUAUAAAGGUUCUGCGUUGCGUCUUUGUAAUACUCAACUGCCUAUCCCAUUUAAUAACGAUAUAGGCGUAAUUAACUCGUGCCAGCACAACUGGAAUUGACAUAGGAUUACAACAGUAGGCCUCGCAAUGCGUAAGCCUUUGCCUAGGUUGUCCGAGAGAGUGGCCCUAUGACCGCCCAGAUCAGGACUUGAAUCCAGCCCGCCAACGUUCAGUGAAGGUCGCGACAGCAUCUGGAGAUGCCUACGGGAGAGAGAGGCCGCCCCCAUCUGAAGGUACGCUCCUGUUACUCAUUACACUCCCUUUCUCUCUUCUCUCGACUUGAUUCGACUCGGGCGUCCGUAGAUUUAUCGGGGAGGCUCUCCCCAUGCCUCUCCUCACUGCUAGUGUCGUACGAAGGGAUCCAAG